This 292-nucleotide ribosomal RNA is filed under the name uncultured bacterium. RNAcentral describes it as "partial 16S ribosomal RNA". The record is from RNAcentral.
GGACUACCGGGGUAUCUAAUCCUGUUUGCUCCCCUUGCUUUCGCAGCUCAGCGUCAAUAAUCGGCCAGUGAGGCGCCUUCGCCACUGGUGUUCCUCUCGAUAUCUACAGAUUUCACCCUUACACCGAGAAUUCCCCUCACCUCUCCGAUAUUCAAGUCAUACAGUUUCCAAUGCAGUUCCAGGGUUGAGCCCUGGGAUUUCACACCAGACUUGUAUAACAGCCUACCUGCCCUUUACACCCAAUGAAUCCGAACAACGCUUGCCACCUCUGUCUUACCGCGGCUGCUGGCAC